GACGAACGCUGGCGGCGUGCUUAACACAUGCGAGUCGAACGGAAAGGCCCUGCUUUUGUGGGGUGCUCGAGUGGCGAACGGGUGAGUAACACGUGAGUAACCUGCCCUUGACUUUGGGAUAACUUCAGGAAACUGGGGCUAAUACCGGAUAGGAGCUCCUGCUGCAUGGUGGGGGUUGGAAAGUUUCGGCGGUUGGGGAUGGACUCGCGGCUUAUCAGCUUGUUGGUGGGGUAGUGGCUUACCAAGGCUUUGACGGGUAGCCGGCCUGAGAGGGUGACCGGCCACAUUGGGACUGAGAUACGGCACAGACUCCUACGGGAGGCAGCAGUGGGGAAUAUUGCACAGUGGGCGGAAGCCUGAUGCAGCAACGCCGCGUGCGGGAUGACGGCCUUCGGGUUGUAAACCGCUUUCGCCUGUGACGAAGCGUGAGUGACGGUAAUGGGUAAAGAAGCGCCGGCUAACUACGUG
Molecule: ribosomal RNA, 468 nt
Filed under: uncultured bacterium
Lineage: Bacteria
Description: partial 16S ribosomal RNA
Rfam family: Bacterial small subunit ribosomal RNA
Source: RNAcentral